Molecule: ribosomal RNA, 496 nt
Filed under: uncultured bacterium
Lineage: Bacteria
Description: partial 16S ribosomal RNA
Rfam family: Bacterial small subunit ribosomal RNA
Source: RNAcentral
GGCGUGCCUCAGACAUGCAAGUCGAACGAUUAAGACUUCCUUCGGGAAGUGCAUAAAGUGGCGCACGGGUGAGUAAUACAUAAAUAAUCUGCCCAUAUGACUGGGAUAACUAUUGGAAACGAUAGCUAAUACCGGAUAGGUUAAUCGGAGGCAUCUCUGAUGAAUUAAAGUAGGAUUUCUACACAAAUGGAUGAGUUUAUGGCGCAUUAGUUAGUUGGUGGGGUAACGGCCUACCAAGACGAUGAUGCGUAGCCGACCUGAGAGGGUGACCGGCCACACUGGGACUGAGACACGGCCCAGACUCCUACGGGAGGCAGCAGUAGGGAAUUUUCGGCAAUGGGCGCAAGCCUGACCGAGCAACGCCGCGUGAGUGAUUAAGGCCUUCGGGUUGUAAAGCUCUGUUGUAAGGGAAGAACAUUCAGGAUAGGAAAUGAUCUUGAACUGACGGUACCUUACCAGAAAGCCACGGCUAACUACGUGCCAGCAGCCGCCGUAA